Molecule: long non-coding RNA, 209 nt
Filed under: Capsicum annuum
Lineage: Eukaryota; Viridiplantae; Streptophyta; Magnoliopsida; Solanales; Solanaceae
Description: long non-coding RNA (CANN_LNC007239)
Source: RNAcentral
CCAUCAAUAUAGCAAGGCACAAUUAUACAAUCACUUACCCAAAACCGCGGGUCCAUAUUCCCACCCUGGCCUCUUACUGAGGUCUAGAGUCAUCAUUAAAACAACAUUUAUAUACAAUAAAAUUGAGAUCACCAUAACAUAGCUAUAUAGCCAUUUAUUCUCUAUUCAUUAAUGAACUCCAAGUUUAGUCUUUAUUAGCUAAUCACCAA